AUGCCUCCAACUCCAUUCAAGUUGUAGCAUGAGGCUUUUGAUUUCCUGCCCAUUCUGAAAUUCAGACUUUUGAGGACUGUAUAUUAAAUUGAUUUUUGAAACAAGGGGAUGGAAUAGGAGCUUGCUCUGACCACCCCAUGCAUUGACCUGGUAUUGCAGUGUUUCCAGGACCAGUAAAAAAAAA
Molecule: small nuclear RNA, 184 nt
Organism: Mauremys reevesii (Reeves's turtle)
Lineage: Eukaryota; Metazoa; Chordata; Testudines; Geoemydidae
Product: U2 spliceosomal RNA
Exons: 1
Source: RefSeq, a predicted model, not a curated record